UAGGAAAGUCCGGUGUUUAUUUAACGUAUAUACAUUAUUAAGAGUAUUAAUAAAAAAUUAUUGGUAUUUAGCAGAAAAUAAUGGUUAUUUAUUUUUUUUUCUAUAAUCUUAAAGUUUAAAAAACUAAAAUGAUUAUAAAAUUAGUAUAAAUAUAGAAGUGUAAAAAAUUUAGCUAUAGUAUAAAAUAAUCACGAACUUUCAAGCUAAUAGUUAAGCCUUUUGUUUAGUUUAAUAAAAAAUUAACAGGAAUCGGCUUAU
This 258-nucleotide non-coding RNA is filed under the name Scytalidium sp. The record is from RNAcentral. Lineage: Eukaryota; Fungi; Ascomycota; Leotiomycetes.